RNAcentral lists this ribosomal RNA (490 nucleotides) under uncultured bacterium. RNAcentral describes it as "bacterial SSU rRNA". It matches the Rfam family "Bacterial small subunit ribosomal RNA", at positions 29 to 507 of the family's 1533-position model. The record is from RNAcentral.
AGUGAACGCUGGCGGCGCGCCUAAUACAUGCAAGUCGAGCGAGAAGGUGUAGCAAUACACUUGUAAAGCGGCGAACGGGUGAGGAAUACAUGGGUAAUCUACCAUCGAGUGGGGAAUAACCAACCGAAAGGUUGGCUAAUACCGCGUACGCCUCCGAGUCUUCGGGUUCGGAGGGAAAGCUGCACUGUGAGUGUAGCGCUCUUUGAUGAGCUCAUGUCCUAUCAGCUUGUUGGUAGGGUAACGGCCUACCAAGGCUUUGACGGGUAGCUGGUCUGAGAGGACGAUCAGCCACACUGGCACUGCGACACGGGCCAGACUCCUACGGGAGGCAGCAGUAAGGAAUAUUGGUCAAUGGACGGAAGUCUGAACCAGCCAUGCCGCGUGCAAGAAGAAGGCCCUACGGGUUGUAAAUUGCUUUUAAUCGAGAAUAACAGCAACUACGUGUAGUUGUAUGAAAGUAUCGAUAGAAUAAGGAUCGGCUAACUCCGUG